This is a long non-coding RNA of Protopterus annectens (West African lungfish), 493 nucleotides long. RefSeq lists it as uncharacterized. The transcript is spliced from 3 exons. The record is from RefSeq and is a predicted model, not a curated record. NCBI's taxonomy places the organism in Eukaryota, Metazoa, Chordata, Ceratodontiformes, Protopteridae.
AGUGCUGCACUUGAGUAAUUUGCAUUCCUUACUUGUGCACAAUCGGAGCACCUGGACAUGACUUGUGCCCGUUUGUCCUACCAGCAGCUAUUGAGACAUUCUCCUGGUAAUGACAGCCACAAAUGUUUGACGUCACUGGCUUUGCCGGCUUGCAUUGUGAGCUCACUUUUCGUCACAGUUCCGGUGCUCUGUGAUGUCAGCCUAGUAAAGAAUGUGAAGUUUAAAGCUUUACAAACUGAAAUUGGUUCUUGUUGGAUACACAUCGAGCUUACAGAUAGUCCAUAAGAAAGAAGAGUAAAAUAUGGCAACAUCACCUAGACUGAUAAAUGAACUAGAGAGAGAAUUAAAGGGGUUCCUCACAGCAAUUUUUGCACGACAUCCUCCAAGCAUUAAUGAAUUUGCAGUGGUAUAUUUCUCUCAUCUUCUGAAGUACACAGCAGAAAACCCGUACCUGAAUGAGGAUGAACUACACAAGAAGUAUUACCUGACGAGA